Molecule: ribosomal RNA, 253 nt
Filed under: uncultured bacterium
Lineage: Bacteria
Description: partial 16S ribosomal RNA
Rfam family: Archaeal small subunit ribosomal RNA
Source: RNAcentral
UACCAGCACCCCGAGUGGUCGGGGCGAUUAUUGGGCCUAAAGCAUCCGUAGCCGGUUCUGCAAGUCCCCCGUUAAAUCCAGCUGCUCAACAGAUGGGCCGCGGAGGAUACUACAGAGCUAGGAGGCAGGAGAGGCAAGCGGUACUCAGUGGGUAGGGGUAAAAUCCGUUGAUCCAUUGAAGACCACCAGUGGCGAAGGCGGCUUGCUAGAAUGCGCUCGACGGUGAGGGAUGAAAGCUGGGGGAGCAAACCGG